Molecule: ribosomal RNA, 540 nt
Filed under: Triticum aestivum (bread wheat)
Lineage: Eukaryota; Viridiplantae; Streptophyta; Magnoliopsida; Poales; Poaceae
Description: partial small subunit ribosomal RNA
Source: RNAcentral
AUGCUGAGGUCCACCGGCCGCCUUCUGCUGCUCGCGCUAGCGGCGAGCCACCUGCUGCUCACCGCCGCCGGCGCUGGCUGCGAGCCGAGCGGCACGCUCCGGCCGACCCAGAGCCACGCGUGCCAGGACUGCUGCAAGGCCGGGCAGGCGUACCCGACGUACAGGUGCUCGCCGCCGGUCUCCUCGUCCACCCGGGCGGUCAUGACUCUGAACGACUUCGACGCGGGCGGCGACGGCGGGGACCCGUCCGAGUGCGACGGCGCGUUCCACCGCAGCUCGGAGCGCGUGGCGGCGCUGUCCACGGGGUGGUACAGCGGGGGCUCCCGCUGCGGCAAGAGCAUACGGAUCCGGGCCAACGGCAGGUCCGUGCUCGCCAAGGUCGUCGACGAGUGCGACACCGUGAACGGGUGCGACCGCGAGCACGCCUUCCAGCCGCCGUGCCGCAACAACGUCGUCGACGCCUCCCAGGCGGUCUGGGACGCGCUGGGCAUCACCGGGGAGGAGGUCGGCGAGUACAACGUCACUUGGUCAGAUGCAUGA